Molecule: ribosomal RNA, 433 nt
Filed under: uncultured bacterium
Lineage: Bacteria
Description: partial 16S ribosomal RNA
Rfam family: Bacterial small subunit ribosomal RNA
Source: RNAcentral
AACGAACGCUGGCGGCAUGCCUAACACAUGCAAGUCGAACGAAACGUCCGGGUUUAGGGGCGUACGGUGGCGUAAGGGGUGGGAACCUGCGCUUAGGUUGGGAAUAACUCCCCGAAAGGGGUAGUAAUACGGGAUAAUGUCUUCGGACGAAGGAUUUAUGGACUUUGGAGGUGCCAACGUUGGAUUAGCUAGUUGGGAUGGUAAAAGCUUACCAAGGCGAGGAUCCGUAGCUGGUUUGAGAGGAUGAUCAGCCACACUGGGACUCGGCCACGGCCCAGACUCCUACGAGAUGCGGGAGAGGGUGAUAUAGGACCGUGGGCGAAAUGCUGAACCACCACGGCCGGGAGAACGAUGUUGGCCUUGGAGUUGUAAUGCUCUAUUACCCGGGCUGAUAGUGACGGUACCUGGAGAAUAAGCUCCGGCUAACUACGUG